RNAcentral lists this ribosomal RNA (254 nucleotides) under uncultured bacterium. RNAcentral describes it as "partial 16S ribosomal RNA". It matches the Rfam family "Bacterial small subunit ribosomal RNA", at positions 524 to 776 of the family's 1533-position model. The record is from RNAcentral.
GACAGAGGCCCCGAGCGCUAAUCGGAAUUACUGGGCGUAAAGAGCGCGCAGGCGGUCGUUCAAGUCGAGUGUGAAAGCCCCCGGCUCAACUGGGGAGGGUCACUCGAUACUGAUCGACUUGAAGGCAGGAGAGGGAAGCGGAAUUCCCGGUGUAGUGGUGAAAUGCGCAGAUAUCAGGAGGAACACCAGUGGCGAAGGCGACUACCUGGCCUGUUUCUUGACGCUGAGGCGCGAAAGCUAGGGGAGCAAACGGG